UACGUAGGGGGCUAGCGUUGUCCGGAAUCAUUGGGCGUAAAGCGCGCGUAGGCGGCCAGAUAAGUCCGGUGUGAAAGUCACAGGCUCAACCUGUGAAUGCCGCUGGAAACUGUCUGGCUUGAGUCCGGAAGGGGCGAGUGGAAUUCCUGGUGUAGCGGUGAAAUGCGCAGAUAUCAGGAAGAACACCCGUGGCGAAGGCGGUUCUCUGGGACGGUACUGACGCUGAGACGCGAAAGCGUGGGGAGCGAACAGG
RNAcentral lists this ribosomal RNA (253 nucleotides) under uncultured bacterium. RNAcentral's name for it is "partial 16S ribosomal RNA". It matches the Rfam family "Bacterial small subunit ribosomal RNA", at positions 524 to 776 of the family's 1533-position model. The record is from RNAcentral.